RNAcentral lists this ribosomal RNA (724 nucleotides) under uncultured bacterium. RNAcentral's name for it is "bacterial SSU rRNA". It matches the Rfam family "Bacterial small subunit ribosomal RNA", at positions 8 to 777 of the family's 1533-position model. The record is from RNAcentral.
AGGGUUUGAUCAUGGCUCAGAACGUACGCUGGCGGCACGCCUUAUACAUGCAAGUCGAACGAAGUAGCAAUACUUAGUGGCAGACGGGUGAGUAACAUGUGGGUAUCUUCCCUUUGGCCUGGAAUAACACGAGGAAACUUGUGCUAAUACCGGAUAAGUCUUUACGGAGAAAGCUUUAUGCACCAUUGGAUGAGCCCGCACUUGAUUAGUUUGUUGGUGGGGUAAUGGCCUACCAAGACAAUGAUCAAUAGCUGAUUUGAGAGGAUGAUCAGCCACAUUGGAACUGAGACACGGUCCAAACUCCUACGGGAGGCAGCAGUAGGGAAUCUUGCACAAUGGAGGAAACUCUGAUGCAGCGAUGCCGCGUGAGUGAAGAAGGCCUUUGGGUUGUAAAGCUCUUUCGUCGGGGAAGAAAAUGACUGUACCCGAAUAAGAAGGUCCGGCUAACUUCGUGCCAGCAGCCGCGGUAAUACGAAGGGACCUAGCGUAGUUCGGAAUUACUGGGCUUAAAGAGUUCGUAGGUGGUUAAAAAAGUUGGUGGUGAAAUCCCAGAGCUUAACUCUGGAACUGCCAUCAAAACUUUUUAGCUAGAGUAUGAUAGAGGAAAGCAGAAUUUCUAGUGUAGAGGUGAAAUUCGUAGAUAUUAGAAAGAAUACCGAUUGCGAAGGCAGCUUUCUGGAUCAUUACUGACACUGAGGAACGAAAGCAUGGGUAGCGAAGAGGA